Molecule: long non-coding RNA, 9419 nt
Organism: Sapajus apella (tufted capuchin)
Lineage: Eukaryota; Metazoa; Chordata; Mammalia; Primates; Cebidae
Exons: 2
Source: RefSeq, a predicted model, not a curated record
CGGCCAGGCGGAGGGCGCUGGCGGCGACACUGCGCAUGCGUGCCUGUACCCCAGGGCCGCGCCCCCCCUUCACUCUCCCCACACCCGCUGCCCGGAAGGAAGCCGCGGGCGGGCCUCGGGCGGGUAGCCGGUCUGCGCAGGCGCGAAGGGGCGCCGGCCGGGGCAGAGGUGACCCUGGGCUCCACUGAUGUUCCUUUGUCUUUGGUAUCUCAUCCUGUGGAACUAAACCGGGCACUUUGAAGGAGUCCCGUGCGUCGGUCACACUCACCUGGAGUGCAGAUAUCCUGGCGGUCCCACGUUUUGGGCAGGAAAGGCGCCGCUGGGGUCCGCCCUUGCUCGCUGGGGUCCGCCCUUGCUCGCUGGCUCCAGUGGCGCUGUUCUACGCCCUCCUUUCUUGUCUUUUCUGCGCUGGCCGCCGGGACAGGACACCUGCAGCAGGGUUGGUGCGAGUGUUGUCCCGGGAAGCUCCGGCAUGAGACGAGACGAUGAAAACCUUAAAUGUGGAACUGCGUCUCAGGCCGGUGUUCUGGCUGCAAGAGUCACCCCCAGAUCUCCCUCUUGCGCUAGGUCGGCCCGGCUGUCCCCAGCGGGCAAGGGCUGCUGUGCGCUGGGUCAAUUUAAAUUGGUGCUCCUCAAACUUGGAAAACUUUCUAGUUAUUCUCACUCCAAUACCUGGGGAAAAUACAAUAACGGUGAAAUUUUAGAAAAAUGUUCGCAUGAUUCGAUGCCAUGUAAUGGUAAACUGUAAAAGUUUAAAAAAUCUUUCAAUGUCUGCUGCAUAUAGCACUGGGUUCCCAGUACGAGGGCCAUAAGUUAGUAUUACCUUAGUGCGGCGCUUCUCAAAAGUGCCCUCCACCCGCAGCAGCAGCAUCCACUCGGGGUGGCCUCCCCCCAUUACUGAAUCAGAGACUCGGGGGGUGGAGCCCAACAAGCGCCCAAACUAGUCCUCCAGGUGAUUCUAAUGUAGGCUGUAGCUUGUUAACCACUGCCUUAGAGUUGUUGGAGGAUUAAGUGAUGUUUAAUCUGCUACACAUGGCUCAAUGCCAAAGAAAUUCAGCGUUUAAAAAUUUUUCUAGGAAGUUUCUUUUUCUUUUCCUUCAAGAAUUGUUGAGGAUAGGAGGAGGUCCUAUUGAGAAUUUGUCAUUCUCGUAGAAUAAUCAGUAUGAGAUUAGAAAAGGUAGAGUUUUUUUGGAUUAGAGGUAGUUUAGAAAUUGUGUGACUUGUUUAUUAUUAAUCGAAUUGGCAGUUUCUAUUCCCUGGUUUCCCCAUCAUUUCACCUUCAACUCAGCCGUAGGGGUUUAUUUUUUAUUCAAAUUCAGAGAUUGAGUUUUGAAACAAAUCUAGAUUAUUAAAUAUGUAUACUUAUAUAUAGAUAUAUAAAAUAUAACCAGAUUAUCUUAUAAUUACAUUUAUACCUCAUAAAUGUAUCUUAAUUUUUUUUUUCUUUUACAGGCAGGUAUUUCUAAGUGUAUGUUUAAAGGCAACACUUUUCAAAUGCUAAACUUCCUCAGCUUGUGCUAUACUUCCUGUUCACACACUACUGUGCCUUUGCUGUGCUCUCCCAGACACCAAAAAACCAAAUAAUCCAAAAACUCUUCUUCAGAUUUCCAAACUGGUUCAAGGUCAAGAAUGACCAAAAUUUACUUUGGCUUUAUCUUAACGAAAGGCUUCCCAAUCUGUUUCCUAAUAUGUAAAUGAGAUUUGGGGUAAAAGAUUAGCAAACAUUUCAGAAAUGAGCCAACAGUUUUUUUCAUAUCCCCACCAUAACUUUAACUGCAAAACCUCAGGACCUGGUUCCUUUCCAGGUUCUGCUGUCUUCAUAUAGCUUUGAGUGUUUUUGGUACACCGACACAUCUCUGUAUCUGGGCCAGUAAACUGCUUUUUUUUUUGGUGUAGGGCCAAGCCUACAAUGCAUAUGUUCUUAUUGUUCAUCUGUUGUAACUUUUUCCACAAAAAGUGUUUAAAAUUUAGAUUGUGGACAUUCCAGUCUCCACUCCGGAGCCUUGACAGGUUGCUGAAAGCCCUGACUGGCUCCAGAAAUGGGCAGUGUUAUUUCUUCAUCGGGUUUCAGUGGCUAUAAACUUGAAACUUAAGGAGUUAGCAGUAUGGUUUUGAAUGUUAAAUUCACGUCUACUGCAACUUGCAUCCUGUUUCUCAACUCCUCCUUUCUCUGUAUUACCACCAUUAUUUGUACCCUGACUCUCAAAAGUUGCGUGACAAAAGCAUUGCCUUUUGAUUUGAGAAGGCCUGUCUCCUUAGUGCCUUUAAAUCAGCCUAGUAUCAGGUGUGUGCUAUUAUCAAAUCCUUGUGGUUUUAAGUGUUAUCAUCUUAGCAUUCAUCCUACCAUUUUUAUAUCCUUAAGGAAAAUUCCACCCUUUUACAAACUGUGGCCUACUUACAGAUUUCCACGUUGAAAGAAGGAAAGAGUCAAACCUUCAAACUUUUUCAAUGUUUAAUUUUUCCCAGCCUACCUAAAAUGGAUCAAAACAUGAACAGGCCUACUUGGGUGAGUGGUGAAAACAGAACCUGCCCUGGACUGCCUCAUUUCCAGCCUGCUCUGUUCAGGUUAGGGGGCAUCUGGGCAGCACUGGCUGGCUGAUAGGGUACAUGACAAUGUGUUUUCCCUAUAUGUGGAGGUGGUCUCAUUCUGCUUCAGUGCCUGGCCACCAAGCAAUACUUUGAGAACUUGGGACGGAGGGACAAGGGGAAUUCAUACUUGUUGAACUGUAUUGGUAUUGUAUUGUUGAAAAUAGACUGGAGGUGGAAGGCUUAUAAUUAAAACCCCAGAGUGCCUUCCAUUUUGUUAAGUUGUGGGUUCCUUACAGUCAGAACUGAUCUUGUUUCCAAUGAAUUGCUAUAAUUAUUGUAAAAGCCCAAUAUAGUUUGGCUGUGUGACCUCACCUAAGUCUCAUUUCGAAUUAUGAUUCCCACGUGUUGGAGGAGGGGCCUGGUGGGAGGGGAUUGAAACAUGGGGGGUGGACUUUGCCCUUGCUGUUCUCAUGAGAGUGAAUGAGUUCUCACGAGAUCUGAUUGUUUAAAAGUGUGUAGCUUCCCUCUUUGUGCGCUGUCUCUCUCUCUUGCUCCAAUGUAUGAAGAUGUGCCAGCUUUCCCUUCUGCCAUGAUUGUAAGUUUCCUGAGGCUUACCCAGCCAUGCUUCCUGUACAGCUUGUGAAACCAUGAGCCAAUUAAAUCUCUUUUCUUUAUGAAUUACCCUGUCUCAGGUAGUUCUUUAUAGCAAUGUGGAAACAGACUAACACAAAGCCCAACUUUUAUUUUAUGUGGAACUUGUUUUUGCAUAUUGCAUUAGGAAAUGUUGCUAAUCUGUGUUUGGGAUUGAAUCUUACCUUCUUACAUAGUAUAGGUGGGAUUAGGUGUUUGGGAUUUGGAGUUGUCAUUUAAAAUAACUUUGGCAAAUUCGAUUCAGUCUUGGCUUUCUUGUGUUUAUGUUCUUAGUGUUCAUUGUAUUUGUUGUUAUAUUGCUUUUUUGGGGGCACUAAUAGAUGUUAAAAACGGGUGUAGAACACCAUCAGAAGGUAUCCUCUUCUAAGAAUUUUAAAUAUAAAUAGAAAAAACAGUAGGACAAUGUAUUAAUCCAAAAGGUGACUCUUUGGAAAAAAAAAUUGAACUACACCAAUAGUAUUUAUAAACAAUGAGCUCGUCUCAAGAAUAAAAGGAAGAAAGUACAAAUAUAGAAAAUAAGACCUGAGAAAAGGAAAUCAUAAAAACAGAAUUUAAAGAAUAGGAGACUAUUGAACUCUUUGAAAAUAAAUUUUAAAACUUUGAUGAAAAUAAUUUUUAGGAAAUAUAAUUGAUCCAGUCUGACCCUAGAAGAGGUAGAAAAUCUAAGCAGCUUGAUUUUUAUAGAAGAAAUAAAGUUGCCCAAGAGUUAACUCCUCCCAAAGCAUUAUGUCAGUUUCACCGGGAGUAUCUACUGAAUAUUUAAAGAGCAGAUAAUUCCAGCAUAGGAAUAAAUUGCUAUUUCUUCUAUUUCAGCCCAAAGGCCCAUUUUAGGCUGAAUUUAAUGAAGAAACAUUGAGAUUUCCACUGAUAGUCAAACAAAGGCAGAGCUCAGCCUAGUAUCUUGUGUCAGGUAUGCACUGUUAGUUUUUUUGGUGUUAUCUGAGUUUUGAUCCACGUUUAAAAAGAAAUCCUACCUUUUUUAUAUUCUUAAGGAAACUUCCACCUUUUUAUUAAGCGCUAUCUAGUUGUUGAUGUAUACUUUGUUAGAAGGUAAGAUUCAAACCUUUAAACUUUUUAUGUUUAAUUUCUCCCAGGCUACCUAAAUUGGAUUAUAACAUGAAUUGGCCUACUUUGACUGAUGGGUUAUUAUUUUACAUUAUUUUACAUUGUAUUGUAGAUACAGCCAAUAUGGUAAGACAAGGUAAGGCAAUUUGAAAUGUACAAAAGAGGAAAAAGGAUCAGAAGUUCUGAAAUACAUAUGGGAAUGUAGCAUUUGAUAAAGGUGAUAUCUCAAAUCAGUGGGGAAAAGGUGAAAUAUUUAAUAAAUGAUGUUGGGACAACUGGGUAGCCAUAUGGAAAAAAAGGUUGGAUCUCUACACCGUAAACCAGGAUAAAUUUUAAUGUUUGAUGGAAUAAAUUCCAGAUAUAUGAUGAUAAUAGCUUACACUUGUUAAGUGUCUUAUGUGCCAGGGACUGUAGUAAUUUACUUUUAAUCCUCAAGUAACCCAAAGAAGUAGUAACUAUUAUUAUCACCGCUUAUGGAUGUGGAAACUGAGGCCCAUAGAUGUUAGGCAGUUCAUCCAAUGUACAUUGCUGAUAAGUAGUGGAGCUGGGAUAUGAACCUAGUCAGUUUGGCUAUAGAGUUUCUGGGCUUAACUCCUAUACUCUUUUUCCGUUUACAUAAUUGUAAGACGAAACAAAGUAUGAGAAUAGAAUGUAUUUAUAAUCUGGGUGUGAGGAAAGCCUUUCUUAACCUUGACUUGAAAAUCAGAAAACAUAAAAGACUAAUAAAUUAGAUCAUAUCACGGUAAAAAUCUUCUGCAUUGCAAAAAUCGCCAUAAGCAAAGCCAUAAGACAAAUUAUGGUAAAUAGUUGCAAUUCGUAGGUGAAGGAGCAAUCUUUUUAGUUAUAUAAGAAGCUUCUAGAAAUUAAUAAGAAAAACGCUAUCCAUUAGAAAGAUAGACAAAGGUUAUGAACAGACCGUUUACAGAAAAGGAAGUACAAUUGGCUCUUAAGCAUAUAAAAAGAUGCUCAACUUCACUCAUAAUGAGGAGAAGGCAAAUGCCAUUUUUCAUUUUUCAGACUGACAAAAAUCUGGAACUUUGAUGAUACACUGUGUUGGUAAAUUCUAAAGGAAAAAGGCACUCCUCUACAUAGCUGGCAAGAGUAUAAAUUGACUCAACUCCUGUGGAAGGCAAUUUGGUUGUAUCUAUCAAAAAUUUAAAUGCAUAAUACCUUUGACCCAGAAAUUUCUGGGAAUUUAUCCUCAGGAUGUAACUUCCACGCAUGCCAAUGAUGACUACCAGGUUAUUCACUGCAGCUUUGUUUGCAAUAGCACAAGGCUGGAAACAACCCAGAUGCCUAUCAAUAGGGGCUAGUUAAAUAAAUUAUGGUUCAUUGUCACAAUGGAUAUGCAGCUGUAAAAGAAUGUGGAACAUCUGUAUGAAUGGGUAUGGAGGGAUUGCCAAGAUGUUGUGUUAAGUGGAAAAAGCAAGGUCUGAACAGUGCAGAUGGAUAGUAUGCUAACAUUCCUGUGAACAGGAGGGAAAACAAUGUGUAUGUAUAGAGAAACUUUGAAAUGAUAGCUAAGAAACUAAUAGCUGGGGAGGGGGAUAUGUGAUGAGAUGAGGAUGGAUGGAAGACAUAGACGUUUUACUUCAUGCUUUUUUGUAACUUUUGCUUCUUGUAAUGUGACUGCAUUUGUGAAUUAACUCCACUUUGAAGAUGAUCUGUCUUGCUGUUUUUAGUAUAAUUGACCACCUUUCUGUCAUCUUUUGUCAUACUUAUUUCAAGUUUUUUUUUUUUUUAAUUUUGCUCUUUUUCUUGUCAAGUACAUCUUUUUUUCUCCAACUUGCUUUUGUAAUCAAAAUCUACAUUUUGGCAUGAUUUAAAAAUCUAAAUUUAGAGAGUGAAAUUGGAAUAAGUUAAUCCAAGUCAUUUUACAUUUCAUAAAUAUUCAUUUUUAUUGAAGCAUCAAUUGUGGUGGCAUCAUUUAUACAAAGAACAGAUCUUUGGGGACAAAUUCCUUCCACUAUUAUGUCGAAGGCAUUAUGUGUAUUUUAUUGUGAGUGAUGUACAUUGAUUUUUUUCAAAGAAAAUGAUCGAAAACAGUUCUCCUUUUAGAAAAGUUGUCCCCAAUGUGUGAUUAAUUUCUAAAUUGUAGGAUACAGAACUGUUAUUUCUCCUCUUUUCAUCCUGCCCAUAGCUCUUUGAUUUUACAGCCUGUUCCAGAAUGUUUAGUGUUUCCCUGAAGUCCCAGGGAUGAGGGUAGUCCAUACCUCCCUCAGUGUGAUCCUUACCUACUUCUCCAGUCUCUUCUCCACUGUUUCCCUCUAGAACCCCAUGUCUUGCGUAACGUGUUUCACUCUUCUGCCUCUGCAUUGCUCACAUGACUAUACCCAUAGUGUGGAUUACAUACUCUGAUUGUUUUACUUAUUCAUUCAUUAAAUGUCUAUUAAAUACCUGCUUAGGAAAGACCUGUGUUGUCCGUAUAUCCUGAUCUUCAAGGAAGUAUCCUUGAAAUUUGCCUCCUCUAAUUUCAUUUCUCCUGGAAACCUAUCCCUUUUCUUUCCAGCCUAAGUGAUCCCUUUCUUCUCUACUAGACAAAUAGCCAUGUACUACUUUAUGAAUCCUUUCUAUGGCAUCUUGCAUUGCUAUUUACAUGUUUCGUUGCCUGGAACUUGCACAAUCUAUGUCUUACCUCCCCACAUGGGGAGCUCACAACACUUUACCAAGAGUGCUGCCUACACUAGGCAGUCAAUAAUGGUUUAUGGAUAUUGGGAAGAAUAUGGUUAAUGCCUGAGAACAAAGACCAGAAAUGUGGUCUUUUCAUGUGACUGUCACAAUACCGAGAAGUUAACAGAGCUGCCCCAUUGCCAAAUGGAAAUGUAUGUGAUAGGAGUGGAUUAUGUUAGCUGUGUCAGUUUUCCAGUAAGCCACUGGGUUGUCAUCAGGCAGCAGUUCCACCAUUUCCACUGGUGCCUGUCUCCUUACCACAUUUUAAGCUAAAAGAGGUAAGAAAUCAAAAGGGUAAGAGUCUGUCCAUGUCUUGGCUUUGCUUCUCUCAUGCUUCCAACCACCCUCAUUUGAAACGUACAUUUUACCUUGUGAAAUUUCCGCCUUUCCAUUUCCAAAUACUUAGGAGAUGUGUAGGUCCUGCUGUAACCCUGAACUCAGCUCUAAAACCAAACUUACUGUUUUGCUUUCAAAAGAUUGAUUGCAUAUUUUAAUUUCCCAACUUCUGUCAGCGGCAUGCUCUCCUCUCACAUCCCAGAAGACUCUUUCAGGGUCAUCUUUGAGCCUUAUCUCUGCAUUCCAGAUGUCCUUCCUUCCAUGAGUCCUGAGGACUUCUUGCCUUCAUUGGUCUCUGGUCUGUCUUUACUCUCUCCUGCCUGAGCUGUCCAGAGCAUCAUUAUCGACAUCUACCUAAAAUUAGAAUUUCAUUCUCUCACUGCUUAGGAAACAGCAGCGACUCUGACCUGUCCAAUAACACUUUUCAGUGCUGGACACUUUCUGUAGUUUGCUGCUGGCCUCAGCAUUCCAGAUCUCCACUUCCACCCUGAGUCUGGCUCCUGCUCUGAGCUCCUUCCUCCUAGGUUGUUAUGGUCUGAAUGUGUAUGUGCCCCUACCAAAUUCCUGUUGAAAUCCUCACCCUCAAGGUGAUAGGUGAUGGGAUUAGUAGGUGGUGGCUUUGUGAGGUGAUUAGUCAUGAGGGUGGAACCCACAUAAAUGGGAUUAGUGCCCUUAUGAAAGAGACCCCAGAGAACUAGCUAGUCUCUUUGGCCAUGUGAGGAUGCUUUGAGAAGGCAUCGUCAGUGAACCAGAAUUUGGGUGCUCUCUAGACACCAAACCUGCCAGCACUUUGAUCUUGGACUCCAGAGCUGUGAGUCUCCAGAGCUGUGAGAAAGAAGUUCCUAUGGUUGAUCAAGUGCUGGGUUAUGGUAGAUUGUUACAGCAGCCUGACGGACUGACACAAGAUGUUUUUUUUCUUGAAGGCUUGUUGAAAACAUCUUGGGCCUUUCAAGGCUAAACUCAGCUUUUUCUACUUCUGUGCUGCCCGUUGGGGCUGUUUCGCUUGGAUUGCUCUUAGCAUUGGAGCUGGAAGUAGGGCUUUGGGACUCUGUUUUGUGCUCAUUCCAGUCUCUCCUUGGGGAAAUGAAGGUUGAAUCCCUUUUGUAUAUUUGGUGCUCAGUGGUAGUCAUUUUCCUUACUAUGUUUUCUGAACUCCUACCCUGGUUAUAGAGCCUGCUGGCAUGAUCAGAGCGCUCUGAUUCCAGCUGCUUUCUCCUGGCUAUCCUAUCAAAAUGCUCUUCCUGUUCGGUGAAAUACUUGAUGACUGACUCAUGAUGCCAAAUGCUUGAUUUCUCCUUCACUAGAGACCUGCAUGUCCCUUGGGUCAGCUGGUACCUUUUCUGUAAGCUUGGCCUCUUAUGAAAGGGAACAUAGGCUAUUGCCCAAUGUUAAAAAAAAAAAAAAAAAAAAAAACAACAUGGUUUCUUGUAUUUCUGUAGGAAUUUUGUAUCCUUUCAUGCAAGUGCAUCUAUAGUGUUUCUCAGCAGGGUAUAUUCUGAUCCACUAACUUGUUGAACAAGUGUAUUAAAUUUGCAUUAUAAUACAACAAAGACUGGUAAUGAAACUGGAAGAAAUGUGGCGACAAUAUAUUUAGACGAUUAUAUCAUAAUUACAUUGAAAAAAAUGAAGCAUAAAAUGUAGGAACAUCAGAUGUCUUCCCAGAGCAUAUGUAUAUAAAAUGAAUUCUUUCUAAGAUGUUACUGUAGGAAACUAAUAAUAAUAGUGUUGAAUUUUCCUUUGAAAAGUUUUCAUAUUUUACAUUUGAUUCAAAAAAAUUAGUUUGCUGUUAGGUCUAUUUUAUACUUUGUAUAGGUCAAAAGCCAUGUGCAAAAUUAAAAAGCAUUGCUCAGAUGAGGCCACAAAUUAUCCUUUGGCCUGCUAAAAGGAUGUGAUGUUUUAACAGAUUGUACCCAAAAGGGAAGAGUCAUGAAAAUGAAAUACUUUGAGACAAUUCAUUGCAUUCCAGCUGGAGAAAAUGAGACCCGAAGUAAAAAAUCUUGAAUGCACUGUCUUUAGCAGAUGAAAAAAAAAAAAAAAAAAAAACAACUGUGUAAGAGUUUGCAGAAUCAAAUAGCCAGCUGUCACACAGGGCCCCCGAGAAAGCAUUGCAUUGCUGAAAACUCCAUUGCCUUACCUCUUCCUGGGAGGCAGUUUAUAAACAGCCACCU